RNAcentral lists this ribosomal RNA (543 nucleotides) under uncultured Glomeromycotina. RNAcentral describes it as "SSU rRNA". It matches the Rfam family "Eukaryotic small subunit ribosomal RNA", at positions 552 to 1096 of the family's 1831-position model. Lineage: Eukaryota; Fungi; Glomeromycota. The record is from RNAcentral.
AGGGCAAGUCUGGUGCCAGCAGCCGCGGUAAUUCCAGCUCCAAUAGCGUAUAUUAAAGUUGUUGCAGUUAAAAAGCUCGUAGUUGAAUUUCGGGGUCAGCAGGUUGGUCGUGCCAAUGGUAUGCACUGGCCUUGCUGAUUCCUCCCUCUUGAUGAGCCGUAAUGCCAUUAAUUUGGUGUUGCGGGGAAUCAGGACUGUUACUUUGAAAAAAUUAGAGUGUUUAAAGCAGGCAAGCGCUUGAAUACAUUAGCAUGGAAUAAUGAAAUAGGACGUUUGAUCCUAUUUUGUUGGUUUCUAGGAUUGACGUAAUGAUUAAUAGGGAUAGUUGGGGGCAUUAGUAUUCAAUUGUCAGAGGUGAAAUUCUUGGAUUUAUUGAAGACUAACUACUGCGAAAGCAUUUGCCAAGGAUGUUUUCAUUAAUCAAGAACGAAAGUUAGGGGAUCGAAGACGAUCAGAUACCGUCGUAGUCUUAACCAUAAACUAUGCCGACUAGGGAUCGGAUGAUGUUAAUUUUUUAAUGACUCAUUCGGCGCCUUACGGGAA